UACGGGGGGAGCAAGCGUUGUUCGGAUUUACUGGGCGUAAAGGGCGCGUAGGCGGCCACCGCAAGUCGGUUGUGAAAUCUCCGGGCUUAACCCGGAAAGGUCAACCGAUACUGCGGGGCUAGAGUGCAGAAGGGGCAACUGGAAUUCUCGGUGUAGCGGUGAAAUGCGUAGAUAUCGAGAGGAACCCCAGAGGCGAAGGCGGUCUCCUGGCUCGCCCUUGACGCUCAGACACGACAGCAUGGGGAGCGAACGGG
RNAcentral lists this ribosomal RNA (254 nucleotides) under uncultured bacterium. Its description in RNAcentral is "partial 16S ribosomal RNA". It matches the Rfam family "Bacterial small subunit ribosomal RNA", at positions 524 to 776 of the family's 1533-position model. The record is from RNAcentral.